CCUACGGGAGUCAGCAGUGAGGAAUAUUGGUCAAUGUACGCAAGUCUGAACCAGCCAUGCCGCGUGAAGGAUGACGGCUCUAUGAGUUGUAAACUGCUUUUUUACGAGGGUAAACCCCGAUACGUGUAUCGGGUUGAAAGUAUCGUACGAAUAAGGAUCGGCUAACUCCGUGCCAACAGCCGCGGUAAUACGGAGGAUCCGAGCGUUAUCCGGAUUUCUUGGGGUUAAAGGGUGCGUAGGCGGUUUGAUAAGUUCGAGGUGAAAUGGCGGGGCUCAACCCCGAAACUGCCGAUAAUAGUGUUGGACUAGAGAAUAGUUGCGGUAGGCGGAAUGUAUGGGGUAGCGGUGAAAUGCUUAGAGAUCAUACAGAACACCGAUUGCGAAGGCAGCUUACCAAACUAUAUCUGACGUUGAGGCACGAAAGCGUGGGUAGCAAACAGGAUUAGAUACCCUUGUAGUC
Molecule: ribosomal RNA, 460 nt
Filed under: uncultured bacterium
Lineage: Bacteria
Description: partial 16S ribosomal RNA
Rfam family: Bacterial small subunit ribosomal RNA
Source: RNAcentral